This 500-nucleotide ribosomal RNA is filed under the name uncultured bacterium. Its description in RNAcentral is "partial 16S ribosomal RNA". It matches the Rfam family "Bacterial small subunit ribosomal RNA", at positions 30 to 523 of the family's 1533-position model. The record is from RNAcentral.
AUUGAACGCUGGCGGAAUGCUUUACACACGCAAGUCGAACGGCAGCACGGACUUCGGUCUGGUGGCGAGUGGCGAACGGGUGAGUAAUGUAUCGGAACGUAUCCAAUAAUGGGGGAUAACUAAUCGAAAGGUUGGCUAAUACCGCAUACGCCCUACGGGGGAAAGCAGGGGAUCUUCGGACCUUGCGUUAAUGGAGCGGCUGAUAUCUGAUUAGCUAGUUGGUGAGGUAAAGGCUCACCAAGGCGACGAUCAGUAGCUGGUCUGAGAGGACGACCAGCCACACUGGAACUGAGACACGGUCCAGACUCCUACGGGAGGCAGCAGUGGGGAAUUUUGGACAAUGGGCGCAAGCCUGAUCCAGCCAUUCCGCGUGAGUGAAGAAGGCCUUCGGGUUGUAAAGCUCUUUCGCAAGGGAAGAAAACUUACUUUCUAAUAAAGAGUGAGGUUGAUGGUACCUUGAUAAGAAGCACCGGCUAACUACGUGCCAGCCGCCGCCGUAA